UGAACAAAGGCUGGGGAAGGAGACGCUGGGGAGUGAAAGGAGUCUCAGAAGCUGGCUGAGGAAUGGAGGGAAGCACAGACAGCGCUCUGACCCCCCAAGGGGGCAGUGGUGCUCCUGGGACCCCAAGAUGGACCUAAUUGGGGAGGAUCCUGCUGUCUGUGCCUGCAAGACCUGUCUGGGACUGUGUUCCUGUCGGCUAAAUAAACCUUCUGCUUUACUGGCUGGCUGAGAGCCCUGGUGAAUGGCAGGAAGCCGGGGGUGCAGAGCCCUGACUUCCCCACACUCCGUGACAGCUCCAGUACAAAGAGGCUUGUACACCAGCCAACAUCUCGCCCAGCCUGGGGUCCCUGCGCCGCGGUUUCUCGUGGAAAUCAGAAGCAUCUUUUUGAUCCACAUCAAGAAUAGGGUUUAAGACAGCUGCUAAUGACUGACCUGAGGUCUGUUCACACACAGUCCCCUGCAUGGCUGGAGCAGCAAGACAAGAUGGGGGGUUAUUUUACAGUGUUCUCGUAGCCAGUGGCGCCAGAGACACGUCUGCUUGAGGGAUGCUCCGUCUCGCUCCCUGGAGGGAUUCCUGAGCCCUGGCGACCUGAUGGCAGCGCCGUGGAGGUGCCCUGGCAAGGAAGGGGCGGCAGUGAGUCACAGCACCUCAGACUGGCACCAUGGGGAACUGGUUUCUGUUCUUUGCCAUAAAUCCCCAGGAGCCAGCGUGGCAGCAGAAAGGAUCACGCUGACUGGGCUGGCGUGUGAGCGUAGCCAUGAGGCAGUCUGCACGGAGCUGUGGGAGCAGCACGCACAGGUGUUGCUUAGUGACCACACCUGGAAGAUGUGAGCCUGUAGCAAACACCGUGUGUCAGGCUGUGGGUAUAGACUGCCCGACAGAGUGUGGCCCGGCGCAUAUCCCCGUUUCACAGAGGUAGCCGGCUGCAGUGGGAGAGGAGCGAGGCUAAGGAUAGCUCUGGGUCAGCGGGGCUUUCUUGCCAGGGUCACUUCUCUGAGCUAGUGCAAAUCCCGAUGCCUUGGCCCUUUCACAGAGUUUGUUCCCUGGGGAGGGGAACAAGAGCUAGUGGCUGGGAAAUGUUCUAGAUGCUUAUGAAUGGGGGUGACGCCAAAGCAGUUCAUGCUUGUCUGAAACCUCCCCCUGGAAAGACAACAGAUUCCUUAGGGCUCCCCCACCCCGCCCUUGGGGCAGUGGGCCAGGAGGGUGGGGCUGGGUUUGCAGUGUCUGUCUGCAGAUUAUCCUCAGACUGCUGGCUACUUCAUUUGCCCGACCUGUAUGAAUGACGGUGCUUGGCCUGUCUGGCUUGCCGGGGCGCUCUCCCCCCCCGAGUGAGAUAC
Long non-coding RNA from Gopherus flavomarginatus (Mexican gopher tortoise), 1338 nucleotides. RefSeq lists it as uncharacterized. The transcript is spliced from 5 exons. The record is from RefSeq and is a predicted model, not a curated record. Lineage: Eukaryota; Metazoa; Chordata; Testudines; Testudinidae.